Molecule: ribosomal RNA, 700 nt
Filed under: Oceanobacillus sp. S8
Lineage: Bacteria; Bacillati; Bacillota; Bacilli; Caryophanales; Bacillaceae
Description: bacterial SSU rRNA
Rfam family: Bacterial small subunit ribosomal RNA
Source: RNAcentral
GCUUGUGGAAUGAGCGGCGGACGGGUGAGUAACACGUGGGCAACCUGCCUGUAAGACUGGGAUAACCCCGGGAAACCGGGGCUAAUACCGGAUAAUACUUUCUUUUGCAUAAAGGAAAGUUGAAAGGCGGCUUCGGCUGUCACUUACAGAUGGGCCCGCGGCGCAUUAGCUAGUUGGUGAGGUAACGGCUCACCAAGGCGACGAUGCGUAGCCGACCUGAGAGGGUGAUCGGCCACACUGGGACUGAGACACGGCCCAGACUCCUACGGGAGGCAGCAGUAGGGAAUCUUCCGCAAUGGACGAAAGUCUGACGGAGCAACGCCGCGUGAGUGAUGAAGGUUUUCGGAUCGUAAAACUCUGUUGUUAGGGAAGAACAAGUUGGGUAGUAACUGACCCAACCUUGACGGUACCUAACCAGAAAGCCACGGCUAACUACGUGCCAGCAGCCGCGGUAAUACGUAGGUGGCAAGCGUUGUCCGGAAUUAUUGGGCGUAAAGCGCUCGCAGGCGGUCCUUUAAGUCUGAUGUGAAAUCUCGCGGCUCAACCGCGAACGGUCAUUGGAAACUGGAGGACUUGAGUACAGAAGAGGAGAGUGGAAUUCCACGUGUAGCGGUGAAAUGCGUAGAGAUGUGGAGGAACACCAGUGGCGAAGGCGACUCUCUGGUCUGUAACUGACGCUGAGGAGCGAAAGCGUGGGGAG